This 494-nucleotide ribosomal RNA is filed under the name uncultured bacterium. Its description in RNAcentral is "partial 16S ribosomal RNA". It matches the Rfam family "Bacterial small subunit ribosomal RNA", at positions 28 to 507 of the family's 1533-position model. The record is from RNAcentral.
GACGAACGCUGGCGGCGUGCUUAACACAUGCCAGUCGAACGGAAAGGCCUGCUUUCCCUUGUGGAUUGCGGGUACUCGAGUGGCGAACGGGUGAGUAACACGUGAGUGAUCUGCCCCCAACUUGGGUAUAAGCCUGGGAAACUGGGUCUAAUUCCCGAUAGGACUGCAGGGUGGUGCCUGUGGUGGAAAACGAUUUUCUAGUGGUUGGGGAUGAGCUCGCGGCCUAUCAGCUUGUUGGUGGGGUAAUGGCCUACCAAGGCGGCGACGGGUAGCCGGCCUGAGAGGGUGAACGGCCACAUUGGGACUGAGAUACGGCCCAGACUCCUACGGGAGGCAGCAGUGGGGAAUAUUGCACAAUGGGCGGAAGCCUGAUGCAGCGACGCCGCGUGGGGGAUGACGGCCUUCGGGUUGUAAACUCCUUUCGACCGCGAGGAAGCCACCUGGUUGGAAGGGUGGUGACGGUAGUGGUAGAAGAAGCACCGGCUAACUACGUG